GUGGUUGUAGCUCAGUGGUACAGCACUCACCUAGCAUGUGUGAGGACUGGGGUUCAAUCCUCAGGACCACA
Non-coding RNA from Ictidomys tridecemlineatus (thirteen-lined ground squirrel), 71 nucleotides. The record is from Rfam. NCBI's taxonomy places the organism in Eukaryota, Metazoa, Chordata, Mammalia, Rodentia, Sciuridae.